ACCAUUUGCCAGGGUCCGAGCGGGCGUAGCAAUACGUCAGCGGCAGACGGGUGAGUAACGCGUGGGAACGUACCUUUUGGUUCGGAACAACACAGGGAAACUUGUGCUAAUACCGGAUAAGCCCUUACGGGGAAAGAUUUAUCGCCGAAAGAUCGGCCCGCGUCUGAUUAGCUAGUUGGUAGGGUAAUGGCCUACCAAGGCGACGAUCAGUAGCUGGUCUGAGAGGAUGAUCAGCCACAUUGGGACUGAGACACGGCCCAAACUCCUACGGGAGGCAGCAGUGGGGAAUAUUGGACAAUGGGGGCAACCCUGAUCCAGCCAUGCCGCGUGAGUGAUGAAGGCCCUAGGGUUGUAAAGCUCUUUUGUGCGGGAAGAUAAUGACGGUACCGCAAGAAUAAGCCCCGGCUAACUUCGUGCCAGCAGCCGCGGUAAUACGAAGGGGGCUAGCGUUGCUCGGAAUCACUGGGCGUAAAGGGUGCGUAGGCGGGUUUUUAAGUCAGGGGUGAAAUCCUGGAGCUCAACUCCAGAACUGCCUUUGAUACUGAAGAUCUUGAGUCCGGGAGAGGUGAGUGGAACUGCGAGUGUAGAGGUGAAAUUCGUAGAUAUUCGCAAGAACACCAGUGGCGAAGGCGGCUCACUGGCCCGGUACUGACGCUGACGCACGAAAGCGUGGGGAGCAAACAGGAUUAGAUACCCUGGUAGUCCACCCCGUAAACGAUAAAUGCCAGCCGUUAGUGGGUUUACUCCCUAGUGGCGCAGCUAACGCUUAAAGCAUUCCGCCUGGGGAGUACGGUCGCAAGAUUAAAACUCAAAGGAAUUGGCGGGGGGGGCCCCGCCACCAAGACCGGGUGGGAAGCAAGGUGGGGUUUUAAAUUUCCGACGGCUAACGCGCGGCAAGAAAACCC
Molecule: ribosomal RNA, 905 nt
Filed under: Bradyrhizobium sp.
Lineage: Bacteria; Pseudomonadati; Pseudomonadota; Alphaproteobacteria; Hyphomicrobiales; Nitrobacteraceae
Description: bacterial SSU rRNA
Rfam family: Bacterial small subunit ribosomal RNA
Source: RNAcentral